Molecule: ribosomal RNA, 492 nt
Filed under: uncultured bacterium
Lineage: Bacteria
Description: partial 16S ribosomal RNA
Rfam family: Bacterial small subunit ribosomal RNA
Source: RNAcentral
AGUGAACGCUGGCGGUAGGCCUAACACAUGCAAGUCGAACGGCAGCACAGUAAGAGCUUGCUCUUACGGGUGGCGAGUGGCGGACGGGUGAGGAAUACAUCGGAAUCUACUUUUUCGUGGGGGAUAACGUAGGGAAACUUACGCUAAUACCGCAUACGACCUACGGGUGAAAGCGGGGGAUCUUCGGACCUUGCGCGAUUGAAUGAGCCGAUGUCGGAUUAGCUAGUUGGCGGGGUAAAGGCCCACCAAGGCGACGAUCCGUAGCUGGUCUGAGAGGAUGAUCAGCCACACUGGAACUGAGACACGGUCCAGACUCCUACGGGAGGCAGCAGUGGGGAAUAUUGGACAAAGGGCGCAAGCCUGAUCCAGCCAUACCGCGUGGGUGAAGAAGGCCUUCGGGUUGUAAAGCCCUUUUGUUGGGAAAGAAAAGCAGCAGGUUAAUACCCCGCUGCUCUGACGGUACCCAAAGAAUAAGCACCGGCUAACUUCGUG